UUCAGAUUGCAGGCUGCAACCCGCCUGCAUGAAGUCGGAAUUGCUAGUAAUCGCGGAUCAGCAUGCCGCGGUGAAUACGUUCCCGGGCCUUGUACACACCGCCCGUCACACCAUGGGAGCCGGUAAUACCCGAAGUCAGUAGUCCAACCUCGUGAGGACGCUGCCGAAGGUAGGAUUGGCGACUGGGGUGAAGUCGUAACAAGGUACC
This 208-nucleotide ribosomal RNA is filed under the name uncultured bacterium. Its description in RNAcentral is "partial 16S ribosomal RNA". It matches the Rfam family "Bacterial small subunit ribosomal RNA", at positions 1292 to 1500 of the family's 1533-position model. The record is from RNAcentral.